GUAGGUGAACCUGCGGAAGGAUCAUUACAAAUCUUUGGGGGCCAGUCGCCUAGUGCGCUGGUCUCACAUUAGCACAAGGUCGCAAGGCCUUGAUGUUUACGCUUGUUUGUUUGACAGAGUUAGUUGAGAAAAAAUAAAGACAACUUUUAACAAUGGAUCUCUUGGCUCUU
This 170-nucleotide unclassified non-coding RNA is filed under the name rhizosphere metagenome. RNAcentral describes it as "partial ribosomal RNA internal transcribed spacer region". The record is from RNAcentral.